GCCCGCUUGGCGGAAUUUGGUAGACGCAAGGGACUUAAAAUCCCUCGGCCUUUUGGCCGUGCCGGUUCAAGUCCGGCAGCGGGCA
The sequence is a transfer RNA, 85 nucleotides long. It matches the Rfam family "tRNA". From Rfam's summary of the family: Transfer RNA (tRNA) molecules are approximately 80 nucleotides in length. Their secondary structure includes four short double-helical elements and three loops (D, anti-codon, and T loops). Further hydrogen bonds mediate the characteristic L-shaped molecular structure. tRNAs have two regions of fundamental functional importance: the anti-codon, which is responsible for specific mRNA codon recognition, and the 3' end, to which the tRNAs corresponding amino acid is attached (by aminoacyl-tRNA synthetases). tRNAs cope with the degeneracy of the genetic code in two manners: having more than one tRNA (with a specific anti-codon) for a particular amino acid; and 'wobble' base-pairing, i.e. permitting non-standard base-pairing at the 3rd anti-codon position.